RNAcentral lists this ribosomal RNA (556 nucleotides) under Parafurgasonia sp. FG-2015. RNAcentral describes it as "eukaryotic LSU rRNA". The stretch from base 182 to 335 matches the Rfam family "5.8S ribosomal RNA". Lineage: Eukaryota; Ciliophora; Nassophorea; Nassulida; Furgasoniidae. The record is from RNAcentral.
GGUUUCCGUAGGUGAACCUGCGGAAGGAUCAUUAACACAUCCUUUCAACCUCACAUUUAUAUUCUGUUACAUGUGUUGUUAUGUAUGGCUUUCGAGUUAUACAUACGGCACAUGCAUCAAUGAAACCUAAUUUGAUAGUUUAUUGUAUAAAUAAGCUUAUCAUAACACAAAAGAGAAUGAAAAUUCUCAACGAUGGAUAUCUUGGUUCCCAUAUCGAUGAAGAACGCAGCGAAAUGCGAAAGGCAAUGCGAAUUGCAGAAUUCCGCGAGUCAUCAGAUCUUUGAACGCAAGUGGCGCUAACCGGAUAUCCGGUUAGCAUGCUUGUUUCAGUGUCUUAUUUUUUGUGAAUCUAAAUGUGAUUGAUGUUUCUUCACGAAACAUCUCUCAUGAAAUUAGAAUGUGCGUGUACUUGCAACACAACGAAGUAGUCACAUGAAUUUGUGAUCUCGUUGCUUGGGAGCAGUACAUAUAAUUGUGCACAUAGAGUUAUUCAUUAACUCAACAAAAAGUAUCUGAAAUCAAGCAAGAACACCCGCUGAACUUAAGCAUAUCAGUA